AGUGAACGCUGGCGGUAGGCCUAACACAUGCAAGUCGAACGGCAGCACAUUAAGAGUUUUCUCUUACGGGUGUCGUGUGGCUGACUGGUGGGGAAUACAUCGGCAUCUACUUUUUCGUCGCUUCUAACGUAGGUAAACUUACGCUACUACCGCAUAUGCCCUACGGUUUAUUUCAGCGGCUUUUCCGACCUUGCGCAAUUUUAUGAGUCGAUGUCGGAUUCGCUAGUUGGCGGGGUAAAGGCCUACCAAGGCGACGCUCCGUAGCUGGUCUGAGAGGAUGAUCAGCAACACGAGAACUGAGACACGGUGCAAAAUCCGAAGGGAGGCAGCAGUGGGGAAUAUUGGAGAAGGAGCACAAGCGAGAACCAGCCAAACCGCGUGAGUGAAGAAGACCUUCGGGUUGUGAAGCAAGUUUGUUGGGAAAGAAAAGCAGCAGGUUAAUACCGAGCAGUACUGACGGUACCCAAAGAAUAAGCAACGGCUAACUUCGUG
This 492-nucleotide ribosomal RNA is filed under the name uncultured bacterium. RNAcentral's name for it is "partial 16S ribosomal RNA". It matches the Rfam family "Bacterial small subunit ribosomal RNA", at positions 29 to 507 of the family's 1533-position model. The record is from RNAcentral.